Molecule: ribosomal RNA, 176 nt
Filed under: uncultured bacterium
Lineage: Bacteria
Description: partial 16S ribosomal RNA
Rfam family: Bacterial small subunit ribosomal RNA
Source: RNAcentral
CAGCAGUGGGGGAAUUUUGCACGGUGGGCGCAAGCCUGAUGCCUCGGAACUAACCGCGUGAGUGAAGACGGCCUUCGGGUUGUAAAGACUUUCCCCGGGGAAGAAAGGGAGUAAAGUUAAUACCGUUUUCUUAGUACGUACCUGAAGAAGAAGCACCGGCCAAGCUCCUGGCUACU